GGUCUAAUACCGGAUACGACCGUCGGACGCAUGUCUGGUGGUGGAAAGUUUUUUCGGUUGGGGAUGGGCUCGCGGCCUAUCAGUUUGUUGGUGAGGUAAUGGCUCACCAAGACGACGACGGGUAGCCGGCCUGAGAGGGCGACCGGCCACACUGGGACUGAGACACGGCCCAGACUCCUACGGGAGGCAGCAGUGGGGAAUAUUGCACAAUGGGGGAAACCCUGAUGCAGCGACGCAGCGUGCGGGAUGACGGCCUUCGGGUUGUAAACCGCUUUCAGCAGGGAAGAAGCGCAAGUGACGGUA
Molecule: ribosomal RNA, 303 nt
Filed under: Burkholderia multivorans
Lineage: Bacteria; Pseudomonadati; Pseudomonadota; Betaproteobacteria; Burkholderiales; Burkholderiaceae
Description: bacterial SSU rRNA
Rfam family: Bacterial small subunit ribosomal RNA
Source: RNAcentral